Asparagus officinalis (garden asparagus) is the source of this 1297-nucleotide long non-coding RNA. RefSeq lists it as uncharacterized. The transcript has 3 exons. The record is from RefSeq and is a predicted model, not a curated record. Lineage: Eukaryota; Viridiplantae; Streptophyta; Magnoliopsida; Asparagales; Asparagaceae.
UACAUAGCUCCAGACAGGUCGUGGAAAUUUUGGAUAAAAGGAAGAUGUAUUGCUUUGAUACUCAUAACCAAACGAAGGAGGAAGAUGCAGAGGAUAAGAAACUAAACUCUCGCGAUCUCUAUGCAAUAAGUGGUGAUGCUUUGAGUCUUCUAGAACAGAAAUUGAGAGAAUUAACUUCCGGGGUGGAGCCAUAUUACGUUAGUAUUCUCGAAGAUAAAAAAAGAUGAUAGUUCUUCGACAUCUUUGCCUGCCUCACAAGAAUCUGUAUCUAGAUUCACCAGGAAUAUUGCCAGAAUAGAACGUGGAGUGGUGUACCAGAAUGGUGUAUGUAACUAUAGACCUGGUGGUAUAUUUGGCUAUGAUGUUUCUUCAACUGCUAGUCAGAUGUAUGCAGCCAGAACAGCAAGUAGAGGAAGAUUGUAGCCGCAGCAGUGAUGCCCGAAAGUAGUUUGAUCAUGAACACAAGUCUUUUCUCCAUGCUCGAAGCCUCAUUUUCCAAUGAAGGCUAUAACCUAACAAAAAGCUCGGACAGCACUGAUGGAAGCAAGACAUGUACAUUUUACAGUCGAGCUCAAAAAAGUAUAUGGAUUCUGCCUCUUCUUCGAUAACAGAGGAAACACCAUAUGUAGCAGUAGUCAGCAAUUAAAAUCUGACAACUGCAAGCGAUCAGGACUUCAAUUACACGAAAGAAAUAUUACUGGAUUCAGACCUACAUUUUUUGGUCCUUGCUGGUGAGAAACUGAAUCUUCUUCUUUUCAGCAAGUUGGAAACUAAGAGAUGGAAGCAGGAUAAAGAUCGUAGGUUGAGGAGAAAAGUGUUGUUUCAUGGUGUAGUUGAGUGUUUAGAAUUAAAACACAACAGAUACUUCAGGGCUGGCUAGCGAUCGUGGUUGAAAUGUGAAGCGGUCAUUGGGAAGGAGAGUUUGGCCGAGGAGAUAUAUGAUGAGAUCUCACGGUGGGUGAACAUGGGAGAUUGUGACGUAGAUGAACUAGUUUGCAAGGACAUUGAGUGCUCACUUGGGUAAGUGGGUACAUUACGAGACAGAAGCGUUUAGAUCUUGAACAGAGAUUGAGAGGGAGAUUGUAGAUUCAUCCAUUAGUUGAUGAACUGAUGACAGAUUGCCUGUAAAACAAAAAUCCUUGCUCAUAAAACAAAAAGUUUCCUGUUAUCGGUGUUAGUUUUAAGUUAUAACCUUCAUCUGAGUUACAAAGCAUGUACCUUGUUCUGGACUAUACAAAUUUGUUAAUGGAGGUAAGGAAUCACUUGGCUGGAAUUUUAUUUUAUUUUUAUUUGCCUC